CCUACGGGAGGCAGCAGUCGAGAAUCAUUCACAAUGGGGGAAACCCUGAUGGUGCGACGCCGCGUGGGGGAAUGAAGGUCUUCGGAUUGUAAACCCCUGUCAUGUGGGAGCAAAUUAAAAAGAUAGUACCACAAGAGGAAGAGACGGCUAACUCUGUGCCAGCAGCCGCGGUAAUACAGAGGUCUCAAGCGUUGUUCGGAAUCACUGGGCGUAAAGCGUGCGUAGGCUGUUUCGUAAGUCGUGUGUGAAAGGGGCGGGCUCAACCCGCGGACGGCACAUGAUACUGCGAGACUAGAGUAAUGGAGGGGGAACCGGAAUUCUCGGUGUAGCAGUGAAAUGCGUAGAUAUCGAGAGGAACACUCGUGGCGAAGGCAGGUUCCUGGACAUUAACUGACGCUGAGGCACGAAGGCCAGGGGAGCGAAAGGGAUUAGAUACCCGGGUAGUC
RNAcentral lists this ribosomal RNA (446 nucleotides) under uncultured bacterium. RNAcentral's name for it is "partial 16S ribosomal RNA". It matches the Rfam family "Bacterial small subunit ribosomal RNA", at positions 338 to 795 of the family's 1533-position model. The record is from RNAcentral.